GACGAACGCUGGCGGCGUGCUUAACACAUGCAAGUCGAACGGAAAGGCCCUGCUUGCAGGGUGCUCGAGUGGCGAACGGGUGAGUAACACGUGGGUGAUCUGCCCCUUACUUUGGGAUAAGCCUGGGAAACUGGGUCUAAUACUGGAUAGUACCAUGCUGUAGGUGGUGUGGUGGAAAGAUUAGUUUCGGUAAGGGAUGAGCUCGCGGCCUAUCAGCUUGUUGGUGGGGUAAUGGCCUACCAAGGCGUCGACGGGUAGCCGGCCUGAGAGGGUGGACGGCCACAUUGGGACUGAGAUACGGCCCAGACUCCUACGGGAGGCAGCAGUGGGGAAUAGUGCACAAUGGGCGCAAGCCUGAUGCAGCGACGCCGCGUGGGGGAUGACGGCCUUCGGGUUGUAAACUCCUUUCAGCCAUGACGAAGCCCUUGUGGUGACGGUAGUGGUAGAAGAAGCACCGGCUAACUACGUG
Molecule: ribosomal RNA, 469 nt
Filed under: uncultured bacterium
Lineage: Bacteria
Description: partial 16S ribosomal RNA
Rfam family: Bacterial small subunit ribosomal RNA
Source: RNAcentral